Molecule: ribosomal RNA, 465 nt
Filed under: uncultured bacterium
Lineage: Bacteria
Description: SSU rRNA
Rfam family: Bacterial small subunit ribosomal RNA
Source: RNAcentral
AGGAUGAACGCUGGCGGCGUGCCUAAUACAUGCAAGUCGAGCGGUAAGGCUCCUGCAGUUUAUUUAACGGAUGAGCGAUCAUCAAUCUCAAAGCUAUGGCUAGCAAUGAGUGUUGAAUAAAGUGCUGGAGUACACGAGCGGCGGACGGCUGAGUAACACGUAGGAACGUACCCCAAAGUGAGGCAUAAGCACCAGAAAUGGUGUCUAAUACCGCAUGUGAUCUUCGGAUUAAAGCUUCGGCGCUUUGGGAACGGCCUGCGCAUGAUUAGCUUGUUGGUGAGGUAAUAGCUCACCAAGGCGACGAUCAUUAGCUGGUCUGAGAGGAUGACCAGCCAGACUGGGACUGAGAACGGCCCAGACUCCUACGGGAGGCAGCAGUAGGGAAUUUCCACAAUGGACGAAAGCCUGAUGGAGCAACGCCGCGUGCAGGAUGAAUGCCUUCGGGUUGUAAACGUGUCUUUUAUA